UACGGAGGGUGCAAACGUUGCUCGGAAUCAUUGGGCGUAAAGGGCUCGUAGGCGGCCAACUAAGUCAGACGUGAAAUCCCUCGGCUUAACCGGGGAACUGCAUCUGAUACUGGAUGGCUUGAGUUCGGGAGAGGGAUGCGGAAUUCCAGGUGUAGCGGUGAAAUGCGUAGAUAUCUGGAGGAACACCGGUGGCGAAGGCGGCAUCCUGGACCGACACUGACGCUGAGGAGCGAAAGCCAGGGGAGCAAACGGG
RNAcentral lists this ribosomal RNA (253 nucleotides) under uncultured bacterium. RNAcentral's name for it is "partial 16S ribosomal RNA". It matches the Rfam family "Bacterial small subunit ribosomal RNA", at positions 524 to 776 of the family's 1533-position model. The record is from RNAcentral.